This 422-nucleotide ribosomal RNA is filed under the name uncultured bacterium. RNAcentral's name for it is "bacterial SSU rRNA". It matches the Rfam family "Bacterial small subunit ribosomal RNA", at positions 361 to 775 of the family's 1533-position model. The record is from RNAcentral.
AUCUUCCACAAUGGGCGAAAGCCUGAUGGAGCAACGCCGCGUGUGUGAUGAAGGCUUUCGGGUCGUAAAGCACUGUUGUAUGGGAAGAACAGCUAGAAUAGGGAAUGAUUUUAGUUUGACGGUACCAUACCAGAAAGGGACGGCUAAAUACGUGCCAGCAGCCGCGGUAAUACGUAUGUCCCGAGCGUUAUCCGGAAUUAUUGGGCGUAAAGCGAACGCAGACGGUUGAUUAAGUCUGAUGUGAAAGCCCGGAGCUCAACGCCGGAAUGGCAUUGGAAACUGGCUAACUUGAGUGCAGUAGUGGUAAGUGGAACUCCAUGUGUAGCGGUGGAAUGCGUAGAUAUAUGGAAGAACACCAGUGGCGAAGGCGGCUUACUGGACUGUAACUGACGUUGAGGCUCGAAAGUGUGGGUAGCAAACAG